UGGAGAAAUACUUCCUUAUUUCCGUUUUAUUGCUUUUGUAUUUUUAUCUCUUUCUUUAUUUGAUAAGUGACAUAAGAAGAGAUAUAAGAAGAAUGGAACAAUGAAACAAUGAAACGGAGCAGGUCCAGGUAGGCCACCAUAUAUACAAAGUGGGGCUUGGAUCGACAAGAGAUAUAUCAAUCAAUCAAGACUUCGGAAGUUUCGGCCACUGAGAAUGAAUGACUAUGGACCAUGGAAGGAAAGGGGAAACCUCGGCUGUCGGCUCUGCUUCAAUUGAAUCUUAUUUCUUCCUGUACUGAGAGAAUGUGAAUCUUUAAAGUUGCAGACCACAUUCAUGCUAAUCAUAUUCAUUAAAGAAUAUAGCACGCACUUUUUUCUU
Molecule: long non-coding RNA, 379 nt
Organism: Prunus dulcis (almond)
Lineage: Eukaryota; Viridiplantae; Streptophyta; Magnoliopsida; Rosales; Rosaceae
Exons: 2
Source: RefSeq, a predicted model, not a curated record